Molecule: ribosomal RNA, 254 nt
Filed under: uncultured bacterium
Lineage: Bacteria
Description: partial 16S ribosomal RNA
Rfam family: Bacterial small subunit ribosomal RNA
Source: RNAcentral
UACGGGGGGAGCAAGCGUUGUUCGGAUUUACUGGGCGUAAAGGGCGCGUAGGCGGUCGUGACAAGUCACUUGUGAAAUCUCCGGGCUUAACUCGGAACGGUCAAGUGAUACUGUCGGACUAGAGUACAGAAGGGGCAACUGGAAUUCUCGGUGUAGCGGUGAAAUGCGUAGAUAUAGAGAGGAACACCUGCGGCGAAGGCGGGUUGCUGGGCUGAUACUGACGCUGAGGCGCGAAAGCCAGGGGAGCGAACGGG